This 450-nucleotide ribosomal RNA is filed under the name uncultured bacterium. Its description in RNAcentral is "partial 16S ribosomal RNA". It matches the Rfam family "Bacterial small subunit ribosomal RNA", at positions 354 to 796 of the family's 1533-position model. The record is from RNAcentral.
GUGGGGAAUAUUGGACAAUGGGCGAAAGCCUGAUCCAGCCAUGCCGCGUGUGUGAAGAAGGUCUUCGGAUUGUAAAGCACUUUAAGUUGGGAGGAAGGGCAGUAAGUUAAUACCUUGCUGUUUUGACGUUACCGACAGAAUAAGCACCGGCUAACUUCGUGCCAGCAGCCGCGGUAAUACGAAGGGUGCAAGCGUUAAUCGGAAUUACUGGGCGUAAAGCGCGCGUAGGUGGUUUUGUAAGUUGGAGGUGACAUCCCCGGGCUCAACCUGGGAACUGCCUCCAAAACUGCAUGACUAGAGUACGGUAGAGGGUAGUGGAAUUUCCUGUGUAGCGGUGAAAUGCGUAGAUAUAGGAAGGAACACCAGUGGCGAAGGCGACUACCUGGACUGAUACUGACACUGAGGUGCGAAAGCGUGGGGAGCAAACAGGAUUAGAUACCCUAGUAGUCC